GACGGCGCAGAAGGGGAGUAGCUCUUCGCCGGACCGUCGACAUACUGCUCAGCUCGUCUGAGCCGGCGCCCGGAGGCGGGGUUCGAGUACCCGCCAGCGAGACCUUCGGCAAGCAG
This 116-nucleotide unclassified non-coding RNA is filed under the name Streptomyces acidiscabies. Lineage: Bacteria; Bacillati; Actinomycetota; Actinomycetes; Kitasatosporales; Streptomycetaceae. The record is from RNAcentral.